UAAUACGUAGGGCGCAAGCGUUGUCCGGAAUUAUUGGGCGCAAAGAGCUCGUAGGCGGCUUGUCACGUCGGGUGUGAAAGCCCGGGGCUUAACCCCGGGUCUGCAUUCGAUACGGGCUAGCCAGAGUGUGGUAGGGGAGAUCGGAAUUCCUGGUGUAGCGGUGAAAUGCGCAGAUAUCAGGAGGAACACCGGUGGCGAAGGCGGAUCUCUGGGCCAUUACUGACGCUGAGGAGCGAAAGCGUGGGGAGCGAACAGGAUUAGAUACCCUGGUAGUCCACGCCGUAAACGGUGGGAACUAGGUGUUGGCGACAUUCCACGUCGUCGGUGCCGCAGCUAACGCAUUAAGUUCCCCGCCUGGGGGGUACGGCCGCAAGGCU
This 377-nucleotide ribosomal RNA is filed under the name uncultured bacterium. RNAcentral describes it as "bacterial SSU rRNA". It matches the Rfam family "Bacterial small subunit ribosomal RNA", at positions 521 to 895 of the family's 1533-position model. The record is from RNAcentral.